CACCAUUGUCCAAUCAAGAAGAUCUCAUCAAUUAUUGGCCUGAUUAUUCAUCCACACUGCUCCAAUUCUGCAAGUGGGCCACCAGCCAGCCCUGCCUGACCCUCCCUGUGUCCAAAUUUAAAAGGUCUUGGCUAUUUAAUGGUUCUUUAUCAUAUUUUUUCAUUUUAAUACAAAGUAGUAACCACUGCAUGUGAGUGCAUGAAUGGG
This is a long non-coding RNA of Epinephelus fuscoguttatus (brown-marbled grouper), 207 nucleotides long. RefSeq lists it as uncharacterized. NCBI's taxonomy places the organism in Eukaryota, Metazoa, Chordata, Actinopteri, Perciformes, Serranidae. The record is from RefSeq and is a predicted model, not a curated record. The transcript has 3 exons.